This 253-nucleotide ribosomal RNA is filed under the name uncultured bacterium. RNAcentral's name for it is "partial 16S ribosomal RNA". It matches the Rfam family "Bacterial small subunit ribosomal RNA", at positions 524 to 776 of the family's 1533-position model. The record is from RNAcentral.
UACGUAGGGUGCGAGCGUUAUUCGGAAUUACUGGGCGUAAAGCGUGCGCAGGCGGUUUUGUAAGCCCGAUGUGAAAUCCCCGGGCUUAACCUGGGAAUGGCAUUUGGGACUGCAAGGCUGGAGUGUGGCAGAGGAGACUGGAAUUCCUGGUGUAGCAGUGAAAUGCGUAGAUAUCAGGAGGAAUACCGAUGGCGAAGGCAGGUCUCUGGGCUGACACUGACGCUCAUGCACGAAAGCGUGGGGAGCAAACAGG